This 236-nucleotide ribosomal RNA is filed under the name uncultured prokaryote. Its description in RNAcentral is "partial 16S ribosomal RNA". It matches the Rfam family "Bacterial small subunit ribosomal RNA", at positions 524 to 759 of the family's 1533-position model. The record is from RNAcentral.
UACGGGGGGAGCAAGCGUUGUUCGGAUUUACUGGGCGUAAAGGGCGCGUAGGCGGCACCGCAAGUCGACUGUGAAAUCUCUGGGCUUAACCCAGAGGCUGCUUCCAAAACUGCUGUGCUCGAGUGUGAGAGAGGCUCGUGGAAUUGCAGGUGUAGCGGUGAAAUGCGUAGAUAUCUGCAGGAACACCCGUGGCGAAAGCGGCGAGCUGGAUCACUACUGACGCUGAGGAACGAAAG